RNAcentral lists this transfer RNA (88 nucleotides) under Olavius algarvensis Gamma 3 endosymbiont. It matches the Rfam family "tRNA". From Rfam's summary of the family: Transfer RNA (tRNA) molecules are approximately 80 nucleotides in length. Their secondary structure includes four short double-helical elements and three loops (D, anti-codon, and T loops). RNAcentral also lists the same sequence under 2 other names. Lineage: Bacteria; Pseudomonadati; Pseudomonadota; Gammaproteobacteria. The record is from RNAcentral.
GGAGAGAUGUCCGAGUGGUCGAAGGAGCACGCCUGGAAAGUGUGUAUACGGCAACGUAUCGAGGGUUCGAAUCCCUCUCUCUCCGCCA